GGCCUAACACAUGCAAGUCGAGCGGAAACGAGUUAUCUGAACCUUCGGGGGACGAUAACGGCGUCGAGCGGCGGACGGGUGAGUAAUGCCUAGGAAAUUGCCCUGAUGUGGGGGAUAACCAUUGGAAACGAUGGCUAAUACCGCAUAAUACCUUCGGGUCAAAGAGGGGGACCUUCGGGCCUCUCGCGUCAGGAUAUGCCUAGGUGGGAUUAGCUAGUUGGUGAGGUAAUGGCUCACCAAGGCGACGAUCCCUAGCUGGUCUGAGAGGAUGAUCAGCCACACUGGAACUGAGACACGGUCCAGACUCCUACGGGAGGCAGCAGUGGGGAAUAUUGCACAAUGGGCGCAAGCCUGAUGCAGCCAUGCCGCGUGUGUGAAGAAGGCCUUCGGGUUGUAAAGCACUUUCAGUCGUGAGGAAGGUAGUGUAGUUAAUAGCUGCAUUAUUUGACGUUAGCGACAGAAGAAGCACCGGCUAACUCCGUGCCAGCAGCCGCGGUAAUACGGAGGGUGCGAGCGUUAAUCGGAAUUACUGGGCGUAAAGCGCAUGCAGGUGGUUUGUUAAGUCAGAUGUGAAAGCCCGGGGCUCAACCUCGGAAUAGCAUUUGAAACUGGCAGACUAGAGUACUGUAGAGGGGGGUAGAAUUUCAGGUGUAGCGGUGAAAUGCGUAGAGAUCUGAAGGAAUACCGGUGGCGAAGGCGGCCCCCUGGACAGAUACUGACACUCAGAUGCGAAAGCGUGGGGAGCAAACAGGAUUAGAUACCCUGGUAGUCCACGCCGUAAACGAUGUCUACUUGGAGGUUGUGGCCUUGAGCCGUGGCUUUCGGAGCUAACGCGUUAAGUAGACCGCCUGGGGAGUACGGUCGCAAGAUUAAAACUCAAAUGAAUUGACGGGGGCCCGCACAAGCGGUGGAGCAUGUGGAUUUAAUUCGAUGCAACGCGAAGAA
Molecule: ribosomal RNA, 945 nt
Filed under: Vibrio harveyi
Lineage: Bacteria; Pseudomonadati; Pseudomonadota; Gammaproteobacteria; Vibrionales; Vibrionaceae
Description: bacterial SSU rRNA
Rfam family: Bacterial small subunit ribosomal RNA
Source: RNAcentral